Culex pipiens pallens (northern house mosquito) is the source of this 674-nucleotide long non-coding RNA. RefSeq lists it as uncharacterized. The record is from RefSeq and is a predicted model, not a curated record. Lineage: Eukaryota; Metazoa; Arthropoda; Insecta; Diptera; Culicidae. The transcript is spliced from 2 exons.
ACCGUAACCAUGGAAAAGUUGUUUUUGUUUGUAGUCAGAAAAGUUUUAUUCGAUUCAGAUAUUUUGGACGGAUAUUCUAAAUAAAAGGGACCUGUUUCAUCGUUUCGUGAAGUCCUAUUUAAGGGUGAUGACACAAAUUUCACCAAACACUGCUCAGAUUACAUCGUUCCAUUGAAAAAUGAAACUGGAUUUUCCCCAUUUGUGUUAAGAUCGAGAACCUCUGCUAAACAUUAUGCUACGGUUAAUGCGAGAAUGGUCACGGUUCUUAGCAGAUUUUUGUAGUUUAUCUUUAAAUGUCCCUCCAGUUUAGAAUUUAUUGACCGUUGGGAUUAUGCACGUCGUCAUGAUAAAGAAAUUUGUCCAAAUUUUAGUUGAAGAGAUCUAGGUGUAAGAAGACAGUUACGACUACUUGUUCCGGCUGUAGAAUUCUGGUCUUCGGUGCCGGGAAGUAGCUAUGUUCGUGCCGGCAUCUUGGCUUACGGCGGUUCCUCGUCAGCUUGCCGGACGGAUGAUGAAAAACGGACGAGAUGGACGGAUGCUCAGAAUUUCGUCGUUGAAGAGGGCGAUUGGUUACCCCUUUCGUUACCCUGCAGCUUGUCCAACCUUCCAAUGCCAUUUAGGGCUGUAAACUUUUGUAAUAAUGUCAUAAUGAUAAAUAUACAGAUUUCUUUCGU